CCAUGGUUACAAGACUCAUGUUCCUUCUCUCCCCUCCCCACACUCCCCUCCCAUAUAUGAUGCACAGUUCUAUUGGGUUUAACAUGUGCCAUCAAUCAAGACCCAUCUCAUUAUUUACUAGGGUGAUCUUUUAGAGUCCACUUUCCCAGACAUAGCCCCACCAAUCCAUGUGAUCAAGUGGUUGAUUUUCUUCUGUGUUUCUUUUCCCACAGUUCUUCCUCUGGAAUAGCAUCCAAAUUUAUAAAGGAGAAACUAGUGGAGCUCAAGGAUGAAAUAGAUAGUAAAACUAUACUAGUGGGAGAACUGAACUUUCCUCUAUCAAAUAUAGAUAAGUCAAACCAAAAAAUAAAUAAGAAAGAGUUUGCUAGUGUGGAUGAGAGAUACAGAAGGCAAUGCAAGGACUGGAUUUUACAAUGAAAUCUUGUGCAAGAAGGAAAUGGAACUUUGGCUGGUAGUGCGGGAUGGGACUGGAAUCUCCAGCUAAGAAAGGCAAGUAGACAGUUGGGAAAAGACUUCUUGUUCCUUCUGAACUGAGAGGGGAAGGAGCAACUUCGCUGAGUUUAGUUUACUAUAAUCCCUCAUUGAUUUGAAGAGACCCAGAUUAACCAUCUUUCCUUAUAAGUGGUGGAUAAAGACUUUUUCCCUUUGGGGAAGGCAAGAGACUAUCCACCCUGAAAACUUUCCUUCAAAGCUGUAUCUCUUUUUCAGGAAAUUACACCAG
RNAcentral lists this long non-coding RNA (721 nucleotides) under Monodelphis domestica (gray short-tailed opossum). Its description in RNAcentral is "lncRNA (ENSMODG00000030211.2)". Lineage: Eukaryota; Metazoa; Chordata; Mammalia; Didelphimorphia; Didelphidae. The record is from RNAcentral.